CCAGCCGCCCCCUUUUUUUCCAGACAAAGGGGUGUGAGCCCGCCUGGGGAUGAGGCCUGGUGUGGUGGCAACUGACCUUAGCUUCGCGGGCUGACAGCUCUGGCCCAGGGCGGUAUGUAAU
This 121-nucleotide long non-coding RNA is filed under the name Sus scrofa (pig). Its description in RNAcentral is "Nuclear enriched abundant transcript 1 conserved region 1 (ENSSSCG00070020018.1)". It matches the Rfam family "Nuclear enriched abundant transcript 1 conserved region 1". The record is from RNAcentral. Lineage: Eukaryota; Metazoa; Chordata; Mammalia; Artiodactyla; Suidae.